This is a long non-coding RNA of Sinocyclocheilus rhinocerous, 342 nucleotides long. RefSeq lists it as uncharacterized. The transcript is spliced from 3 exons. NCBI's taxonomy places the organism in Eukaryota, Metazoa, Chordata, Actinopteri, Cypriniformes, Cyprinidae. The record is from RefSeq and is a predicted model, not a curated record.
AGUGAUGUUUGUUUAAAUGUGUGUACACAUUUACAGAGCAGGUAAAGGAGUUGAGACAGGAGGCCAUCCGACAGGAAGACCAACUGAGGGAAGUGCGGAAAAACGGCACCAAUUUGGAAAAGAAGCUGGAAUAUGAGAGCUUGCAGUGUGGCCGACAAAUAGCUGAGCUGAAGGCAGAAUAUGAAGAGAGCAAGAAAAGAGUAGAAGAAGAGGCAGCAAAACUCAGACAGAGUUUAUUAGAGAAUCGUAAAGUGGAUACAGGGGGUCGGCAGGUGGAGGUGGAUCUUGAUCAGUCCAUCAAAAGAAAAGAGGAGGACACUGCAGAGCGCCACACAGUGGCUG